Molecule: ribosomal RNA, 468 nt
Filed under: uncultured bacterium
Lineage: Bacteria
Description: partial 16S ribosomal RNA
Rfam family: Bacterial small subunit ribosomal RNA
Source: RNAcentral
GACGAACGCUGGCGGCGUGCUUAACACAUGCAAGUCGAACGGAAAGGCCCUGCUUUUGUGGGGUGCUCGAGUGGCGAACGGGUGAGUAACACGUGAGUAACCUGCCCUUGACUUUGGGAUAACUUCAGGAAACUGGGGCUAAUACCGGAUAGGAGCUCCUGCUGCAUGGUGGGGGUUGGAAAGUUUCGGCGGUUGGGGAUGGACUCGCGGCUUAUCAGCUUGUUGGUGGGGUAGUGGCUUACCAAGGCUUUGACGGGUAGCCGGCCUGAGAGGGUGACCGGCCACAUUGGGACUGAGAUACAGCCCAGACUCCUACGGGGGGCAGCAGUGGGGAAUAUUGCACAAUGGGCGGAAGCCUGAUGCAGCAACGCCGCGUGCGGGAUGACGGCCUUCGGGUUGUAAACCGCUGUCGCCUGUGACGAAGCGUGAGUGACGGUAAUGGGUAAAGAAGCACCGGCUAACUACGUG